RNAcentral lists this ribosomal RNA (495 nucleotides) under uncultured bacterium. RNAcentral's name for it is "partial 16S ribosomal RNA". It matches the Rfam family "Bacterial small subunit ribosomal RNA", at positions 28 to 507 of the family's 1533-position model. The record is from RNAcentral.
GAUGAACGCUGGCGGCGUGCCUAAUACAUGCAAGUAGAACGCUGAAGGAGGAGCUUGCUCUUCUGGCUGAGUUGCGAACGGGUGAGUAACGCGUAGGUAACCUGCCUGGUAGCGGGGGAUAACUAUUGGAAACGAUAGCUAAUACCGCAUGACAACAGUUAUUGCAUGAUAACUGUUUAAAAGGGGCAAUUGCUCCACUACCAGAUGGACCUGCGUUGUAUUAGCUAGUUGGUGAGGUAACGGCGCUACAAGGCGACGAUACAUAGCCGACCUGAGAGGGUGAUCGGCCACCCUGGGACUGAGACACGGCCCAGACUCCUACGGGAGGCAGCAGUAGGGAAUCUUCGGCAAAGGACGGAAGUCUGACCGAGGAACGCCGCGUGGGUGAAGAAGGUUUUCGGAUCGUAAAGCUCCGUUGUAAGGGAAGAACGAGUGUGGGAGUGGAAAGUUCACACUGUGACGGUAUCUUACCAGAAAGGGACGGCUAACUACGUG